RNAcentral lists this ribosomal RNA (637 nucleotides) under uncultured fungus. RNAcentral's name for it is "eukaryotic LSU rRNA". It matches the Rfam family "Eukaryotic large subunit ribosomal RNA", at positions 1 to 615 of the family's 3401-position model. The record is from RNAcentral. Lineage: Eukaryota; Fungi.
GACCUCAAAUCGGGUGAGACUACCCGCUGAACUUAAGCAUAUCAAUAAGCGGAGGAAAAGAAACUAACAAGGAUUCCCCUAGUAACUGCGAGUGAAGCGGGAAAAGCUCAAAUUUAAAAUCUGGUGGUCUUUGGCCAUCCGAGUUGUAAUUUAGAGAAGCGUCUUCCGCGCUGGACCGUGCAUAAGUCUCCUGGAAUGGAGCGUCAUAGAGGGUGAGAAUCCCGUCUUUGGCACGGACCCCAGGGCUUCUGUGAUGCGCUCUCAAAGAGUCGAGUUGUUUGGGAAUGCAGCUCAAAAUGGGUGGUGAACUCCAUCUAAAGCUAAAUAUUGGCGAGAGACCGAUAGCGAACAAGUACCGUGAGGGAAAGAUGAAAAGCACUUUGGAAAGAGAGUGAAACAGUACGUGAAAUUGUUGAAAGGGAAACGCUUGAAGUCAGUCGCGUCGACCGAGACUCAGCCUCGCCUCGGCUUGGUGUACUUCUCGGCUGACGGGUCAGCAUCAAUUUCGAUCCUUGGAUAAUGGCAAGGGAAAGGUAGCACCUUUAUAGGUGUGUUAUAGUCCUCUGUCGGAUGCAAGGGUCGGGAUUGAGGAACUCAGCACGCACCUUUUAGGUGUCGGGGCCUCGGCCUACGUUAC